RNAcentral lists this ribosomal RNA (274 nucleotides) under uncultured bacterium. RNAcentral describes it as "partial 16S ribosomal RNA". It matches the Rfam family "Bacterial small subunit ribosomal RNA", at positions 523 to 796 of the family's 1533-position model. The record is from RNAcentral.
CUACGGAGGGUACAAGCGUUAUUCGGAAUCACUGGGCGUAAAGGGUGCGUAGGCGGUUUGAUAAGUCUGAUGUGAAAUCCUAUGGCUCAACCAUAGAACUGCAUUGGAAACUGUCAGACUAGAAUACUGAAGGGGCAGAUGGAAUUAGUGGUGUAGGGGUAAAAUCCGUAGAUAUCACUAGGAAUACCGAAAGCGAAAGCGAUCUGCUGGGAAGUUAUUGACGCUGAGGCACGAAAGCGUGGGGAGCAUACGGGAUUAGAUACCCUAGUAGUCC